CUUACAACGAAAGUACCCUUAGGGCUCUUUUAUAGCGCAGGAAAUUUAAAAAGGAGUAAGGAAAGUUAAAAUUUGUACCUUUUGUAUCAGGGGGGUUCAAAAAUAACACCAGGGUGUAAUCGAGUUUGCCAAAUCUUCUUUGUUUAAAUGUGUAGUAGAAUUUAAAUAUUUAAACCAAUUAAGGGGUGAAAAGUGCACGAUGGUAAUGGUAUCUAAUUGUUUUAGUAAAUUGAGGGGAUUAGCUCUCAAAGAUCUAUGAGGUUUUUUAAUUAAGAAAGCUAGGCUUUAGAUUAGCCAGGUUGAUAAGUUGUUUUAAGUAAUCUUAUGAGUAGGUUAUGCGAUAGAGUUAAAUAAACGGUAGAGAAAAAUAAAAAUUUUAAGUGAUAAUGAAUUUAUUGAAUUAAGAGAGAAGUUUAAAAAUAACUCACGCGAGGUUAGAAAGUUUAACAAAGACAUUUCUGUGUGCUUAAAAUAAAGUAAGGCCUGCCCGGUGAUGUUUAAACGGCUGCGGUAUUUUGACUGUGCUAAGGUAGCAUAAUCAUUUGUUUCUUAAUUGGUAACUGGAAUGAAAGGUUAAACUAGGUUUAGCUGGUUUGUGAACUAAAAAGGAAAUUUAAGUCAAGGUAAUAAUUCUUUGAUAGACUAGGGGACGAUAAGACCCUAGAAGCUUAACAAAAAGUAUAUUUAUUAGUGUUAAAAUUUUAUUUGGUUUACUGGGGCGGUGUUGGUGCAUAAACUAUUAAGUUUUUGAGAGAUCCUUUGUAUAAAGAAAAAACGUGGAAGUUACUCUAGGGUUAACAGUGCAAUAUAUUUGGAAAGAUCUUAUUGAUAAUUAUGAUUGCAACCUCGAUGUU
RNAcentral lists this ribosomal RNA (854 nucleotides) under Gammarus nekkensis. RNAcentral's name for it is "partial large subunit ribosomal RNA". Lineage: Eukaryota; Metazoa; Arthropoda; Malacostraca; Amphipoda; Gammaridae. The record is from RNAcentral.